RNAcentral lists this ribosomal RNA (365 nucleotides) under uncultured bacterium. RNAcentral's name for it is "bacterial SSU rRNA". It matches the Rfam family "Bacterial small subunit ribosomal RNA", at positions 28 to 394 of the family's 1533-position model. The record is from RNAcentral.
GACGAACGCUGGCGGCGUGCUUAACACAUGCAAGUCGAGCGGUAAGGCCCUUUCGGGGGUACACGAGCGGCGAACGGGUGAGUAACACGUGGGUGACCUGCCCUCAGCUCUGGGAUAAGCCUGGGAAACCGGGUCUAAUACUGGAUAUGACUCCAUGACGCAUGUUGUGGGGUGGAAAGCCUUGUGCGGCUGAGGAUGGGCCCGCGGCCUAUCAGCUUGUUGGUGGGGUGAUGGCCUACCAAGGCGACGACGGGUAGCCGGCCUGAGAGGGCGACCGGCCACACUGGGACUGAGACACGGCCCAGACUCCUACGGGAGGCAGCAGUGGGGAAUCUUGCGCAAUGGGCGAAAGCCUGACGCAGCGA